AUAAUUGAAUAAGGAACGGGUCUUUUUACCCCGAGGGGGAAAAGUGAAAAGGGAAGCCGGUGCAAAUCCGGCGCGGUCCCGCCACUGUAAAGGCGAGGCGCGGCACAAAGAGUCACUGGACAAUAUGUCCGGGAAGACGUGCCGGGUCGAUGAACCUGAGCCAGGAGACCUGCCCGUUCCAGAAACCGGAC
RNAcentral lists this non-coding RNA (191 nucleotides) under Desulfotomaculum sp. The record is from RNAcentral. RNAcentral also lists the same sequence under 1 other name. Lineage: Bacteria; Bacillati; Bacillota; Clostridia; Eubacteriales; Desulfotomaculaceae.